GGAGGCGGCGACGCCCCCCCGACUUGAGGCUGGUGAAAGCCAGCCUGCUGCCUCCGCACCCUAUCCUUGAAGGCCUUUCGGCGGACCCGUUCGGAUCCGCC
RNAcentral lists this small RNA (101 nucleotides) under Caulobacter sp. BK020. Its description in RNAcentral is "Cauldobacter sRNA CC3552". It matches the Rfam family "Cauldobacter sRNA CC3552". The record is from RNAcentral. Lineage: Bacteria; Pseudomonadati; Pseudomonadota; Alphaproteobacteria; Caulobacterales; Caulobacteraceae.